Non-coding RNA from Xyrichtys novacula (pearly razorfish), 1898 nucleotides. The record is from the annotation of a GenBank genome assembly. Lineage: Eukaryota; Metazoa; Chordata; Actinopteri; Labriformes; Labridae.
CAAAGUAUUACUGCUCUACUUUGAUGGUCAUACUGAUUAUUUUUUUUCCUGCCUACAUUGAAAGAUCAUUUUGGCCUUUCAUGUUUAAUCAAGAGGACAGCUUAAUAGAGACAGGACGACACGCACCGGGAACUUUCAGGGCCAGGAAUGGACCUUUGACAAGUCCGUGAGCCAAACCAGCUUUCCUUUUACAUCCAUUUCUGUUAGAUUUCUUCUUUUUCCUCUCCAUCCAAAAGUGACAAAAAAGUCCACCACUCAACCUUUUGAAAAAGUACUCUUAGGUAAUGUCGUGACAUCAGUCAUACAAACCAGCACCACUUCAGCCACCUUGGGAAACACUGAAUCAUAUUUACUAAAAUUUUAAGUGAACUUAAAAAACAGUUUAAAGACCGGCAUGAAAAGGUUGAUGUAUGAAGUUGGUUAAUUUUUUAUAUGCCUUUUCACGUAUACUUUGGUUUUAUAGCAGAGCUCCACUCAGUCUGAGGAAAGGGUCAAAAUGGAAGAAUAUCACAUUUAUUUGCUCGAAAGGGCAUUUACACCACGACGUACAAAAAACCUUACAAGUAAGUGGAUUUAAAAGCAGAGCUCUCCUAAAGUGACCAUCGUGGUCUGAGGCCUCAGUGCAUUUUAUCGUAAAUGUCUCUGUAAAGAGUCUUUUCAUGGUGCUUUUUCUUUCUCAGGCGGUUCAAAAAUGAGGGGCAGAAAAGAGGGAAAGCAAACCGUUGAGGCUCUUAAAAUCAGAGAAACACAAGAAAGAGAUUAUUUGUUAAAUCAUAUAAAAAUCAUAUAAAUCAUCUACUCGCUUAAUUCGUGCGAAUCUAGACGCGUGAAUGAAUAGUAUUUGCUCGCUUCAUUUGCGCAUCAACGGUAAUUUUUACGGCAAUCCCUGCCAAUUCAACCGGCGGGAUCAAGCGAUAGACAAAGGUUUUAAAUCCGACCUCCUCACUCCUUUAUAUUCCUGUUUCAGUAAUUUAAAGAAAAGGCGUCAUUUGCGCUGCCAGAGUAGUCAGAGCGUCUAAUCGUGUCUUUACAUCCAUUUUACAUGUAAUUCAUUCGCGCGAAUGAUUUUUUACUGGCGCUCGGUCUGUGGAGACACCAAGGGCGUGGGUGUCGACUAAGCAGCUGCUUUUAGAUUUGCUGCAUGUUAUAUUCACAUUAAAGCUUUUUGGCAUUUAUGAAACAGGCUGAAGUUCAUAUUAGUGCCUUUUAUCAGUUUGUCCUCCAUUUUAGAUACCUGUGAACAACCGUCCAUUUUAAUACUUCAUCCAGCAACCUUUGUGCCGAGUAGUUACCCUGACGCAAAUAUCCGCUUUAGCUGAGACAUUUUCAGCUCCCGCCCAAUUCACGUCAUUUGUGCGGCCAGAGUAGAAGUCUAAUCGCGUCUUUGCAUUGAAUUAACAUGUGAUUCAUUCGCGCGAAUGAUUUUUUACUCGCGCUCGGUCUGUGGAGACAGUUAGAGCCCUUCCUGGUGUGUACGUGGAACACCAAAAUAUUCGAUGUGGAGCUGUCAGCUUAUACAGACUGAUAUUAGUGUAUCCCAGCCUGCCUGAAGUAGCACUCUGCUCAUUGUAUAUCAUCUAAAUGAAUUAAAACAUAGUAUUUGUGCUUUUCUCUGUCAGACACGCCCUCCUGUAAUAACUCAAACAUCAGGUUAAUAAGUCCAUAAACACCGCAGCUGUUUCUCUCUCGGCUGACUCUCCAUUAAAUCUCCUCACCGCUUCUAGAUUUACAGUAUAUUUUAUUGUGGUUUGCUCUCCAUUUACAACUUGUAGGGCCACUCUCAAAAUUGUAUCCUUCACAAUGGAGGUGAUCCAUCACUUCUGUCUCAUUUUUUAAUCCCAGGUGACUGAAACAUCUGUCAGGAUGACUGAACGUCGAUUGAGCGGUACAGCAGGGAG